AUGAAGAGCAAGAGCUUUUACUCAUUUUGCUUCAACACACACAAUGAUCUCUACAUCCCUACUGCUGCUGCUUUUGGCAGCCGUGUUCACUGUGUUGAGCUGACCCAGCCUGCAUCCUCAGUAGUAACCCCUGGUCAGUCACUGACUCUGACCUGUAAAUUGUCUGGAUAUUCAGUAACUGAUGGCUACGAUACAGCCUGGAUACGACAACCUGCAGGAAAAACUCUGGAGUGGAUCGGAUAUAUAUAUGCUGGUAGUAGCACUUACUACAGUGAGAAACUGAAAAGCAGGUUUCAGAUUUCCAAAGACACGUCCAGCAACACAGUAACAUUAAAAGGACAGAACAUGCAGACUGAAGACACAGCUGUGUAUUACUGUGCUCGGGAAUACCACAGUGAGACAGAACAACAACAUUCCUGUACAAAAACCCCCAGUACAGAAACCUCAGUCCAGUGA
Molecule: non-coding RNA, 456 nt
Organism: Clarias gariepinus (North African catfish)
Lineage: Eukaryota; Metazoa; Chordata; Actinopteri; Siluriformes; Clariidae
Source: the annotation of a RefSeq genome assembly